RNAcentral lists this ribosomal RNA (423 nucleotides) under uncultured bacterium. RNAcentral describes it as "bacterial SSU rRNA". It matches the Rfam family "Bacterial small subunit ribosomal RNA", at positions 29 to 487 of the family's 1533-position model. The record is from RNAcentral.
AACGAACGCUGGCGGCAUGCCUAACACAUGCAAGUCGAACGGGAUCCUGGCUUCGGCCAGGUGAGAGUGGCGGACGGGUGAGUAACGCGUGGGAACCUGCCCAUUGGUCUGGGAUAACUGCGGGAAACUGCAGCUAAUACCGGAUGUACCCGAGAGGGGAAAGAUUUAUCGCCGAUGGAGGGGCCCGCGUCAGAUUAGGUAGUUGGUGAGGUAACGGCUCACCAAGCCUACGAUCUGUAGCUGGUCUGAGAGGAUGGUCAGCCACACUGGGACUGAGAUACGGCCCAGACUCCUACGGGAGGCAGCAGUGGGGAAUAUUGGACAAUGGGGGCAACCCUGAUCCAGCAAUGCCGCGUGAGUGAUGAAGGCCUUAGGGUUGUAAAGCUCUUUUACCAGGGACGAUGAUGACGGUACCUGGAGAAU